RNAcentral lists this transfer RNA (72 nucleotides) under Camelus bactrianus (Bactrian camel). It matches the Rfam family "tRNA". Rfam says of the family: Transfer RNA (tRNA) molecules are approximately 80 nucleotides in length. The record is from Rfam by way of RNAcentral. RNAcentral also lists the same sequence under 2 other names. Lineage: Eukaryota; Metazoa; Chordata; Mammalia; Artiodactyla; Camelidae.
GAGGGCAUAGCUCAGUGGUAGAGUGCGUGCUUAGCAUGCUUGAGGUCCUGGGUUCAAUCCCCAGUAUUUCCA